Molecule: ribosomal RNA, 253 nt
Filed under: uncultured bacterium
Lineage: Bacteria
Description: partial 16S ribosomal RNA
Rfam family: Bacterial small subunit ribosomal RNA
Source: RNAcentral
GACGUAGGGCGCGAGCGUUGUCCGGAUUUAUUGGGCGUAAAGAGCUCGUAGGCGGCUUGUUGCGUCGGCUGUGAAAACCCGCAGCUCAACUGUGGGCUUGCAGCCGAUACGGGCAGGCUAGAAUUCGGUAGGGGAGACUGGAAUUCCUGGUGUAGCGGUGAAAUGCGCAGAUAUCAGGAGGAACACCGGUGGCGAAGGCGGGUCUCUGGGCCGAUAUUGACGCUGAGGAGCGAAAGCGUGGGGAGCGAACAGG